GACAGAGGGUGCAAACGUUGUUCGGAAUUACUGGGCGUAAAGAGCUUGUAGGCGGUUUGUCGCGUCUGCUGUGAAAAUCCGAGGCUCAACCUCGGACUUGCAGUGGGUACGGGCAGACUAGAGUGUGGUAGGGGAGACUGGAAUUCCUGGUGUAGCGGUGAAAUGCGCAGAUAUCAGGAGGAACACCGAUGGUGAAGGCAGGUCUCUGGGCCACUACUGACGCUGAGAAGCGAAAGCAUGGGGAGCGAACAGG
Molecule: ribosomal RNA, 253 nt
Filed under: uncultured bacterium
Lineage: Bacteria
Description: partial 16S ribosomal RNA
Rfam family: Bacterial small subunit ribosomal RNA
Source: RNAcentral